RNAcentral lists this ribosomal RNA (229 nucleotides) under uncultured bacterium. Its description in RNAcentral is "partial 16S ribosomal RNA". It matches the Rfam family "Bacterial small subunit ribosomal RNA", at positions 568 to 796 of the family's 1533-position model. The record is from RNAcentral.
UACGUAGGCGGGAAAUUAAGUCAGUAGUGAAAUCCCACAGCUUAACUGUGGAACUGUUAUUGAUACUGGUUUUCUUGAAUAUAGUUGAGGUAGGCGGAAUGUGUAAUGUAGCGGUGAAAUGCUUAGAUAUUACACAGAACACCGAUUGCGAAGGCAGCUUACUAAGCUAUGUUUGACGCUGAGGUACGAAAGCGUGGGGAGCGAACAGGAUUAGAUACCCUGGUAGUCC